UUAUACAUUAACAUUAGACUGAAACACCUGUUCAUAUAUGCCCAAGAGUGGUUAAUCACUAUAGCUAAGCAGGGCUAAGCUUGGUCAGUACCUGAAAAGGAGACCACAUGGGAAAACUAGGUUGCUGUUGGCA
This 133-nucleotide ribosomal RNA is filed under the name Danio rerio (zebrafish). Lineage: Eukaryota; Metazoa; Chordata; Actinopteri; Cypriniformes; Danionidae. The record is from RNAcentral.